GACAGAGGGUGCAAACGUUGCUCGGAAUCACUGGGCGUAAAGGGCGUGUAGGCGGGAAGGAAAGUCGGGCGUGAAAUCCCUGGGCUCAACCCAGGAACUGCACUCGAAACUUCUUUUCUUGAGUGCCGGAGAGGAAAGCGGAAUUCCUGGUGUAGAGGUGAAAUUCGUAGAUAUCAGGAGGAACACCAGUGGCGAAGGCGGCUUUCUGGACGGGUAA
Molecule: ribosomal RNA, 217 nt
Filed under: uncultured bacterium
Lineage: Bacteria
Description: partial 16S ribosomal RNA
Rfam family: Bacterial small subunit ribosomal RNA
Source: RNAcentral